RNAcentral lists this transfer RNA (77 nucleotides) under Clostridiaceae bacterium. RNAcentral describes it as "tRNA-Arg". It matches the Rfam family "tRNA". Rfam says of the family: Transfer RNA (tRNA) molecules are approximately 80 nucleotides in length. Their secondary structure includes four short double-helical elements and three loops (D, anti-codon, and T loops). The record is from RNAcentral. Lineage: Bacteria; Bacillati; Bacillota; Clostridia; Eubacteriales; Clostridiaceae.
GUUUCCGUAGCUCAGUAGGAUAGAGUGACCGCCUCCUAAGCGGUAGGUCGUGGGUUCGAAUCCCGCCGGGAACACCA